GGCUUGACAUCCCACAAAUUUGGCUGAGAAGUCGAAGUGCCUUCGGGAAUGUGGAGACAGGUGGUGCAUGGCUGUCGUCAGCUCGUGUCGUGAGAUGUUGGGUUAAGUCCCGCAACGAGCGCAACCCUCGUCCUUAGUUGCCAGCAUUAAGUUGGGGACUCUAGGGAGACCGCCGGGGAAAACUCGGAGGAAGGUGAGGAUGACGUCAAGUCAGCAUGCCCCUUAUGUCUUGGGCUACACACGUACUACAAUGGUUGGGACAAAGGGAAGCAAAACUGCGAAGUGGAGCGAAUCUCAUCAAACCCAGCCUCAGUUCAGAUUGCAGGCUGAAACUCGCCUGCAUGAAGGAGGAAUCGCUAGUAAUCGCAGGUCAGCAUACUGCGGUGAAUCCGUUCCCGG
This 399-nucleotide ribosomal RNA is filed under the name uncultured Synechocystis sp. Its description in RNAcentral is "bacterial SSU rRNA". It matches the Rfam family "Bacterial small subunit ribosomal RNA", at positions 978 to 1377 of the family's 1533-position model. The record is from RNAcentral. Lineage: Bacteria; Bacillati; Cyanobacteriota; Cyanophyceae; Synechococcales; Merismopediaceae.